RNAcentral lists this long non-coding RNA (893 nucleotides) under Felis catus (domestic cat). RNAcentral's name for it is "lncRNA (ENSFCAG00000052608.1)". The record is from RNAcentral. Lineage: Eukaryota; Metazoa; Chordata; Mammalia; Carnivora; Felidae.
GUAUAUAAAAAAGUAUUAUUCGUCAAAUCUUUUAGAGCCUAAUUUAUGCCUUUGAAAAAGAAAAGUAAUUCUAAAGUCUUCAUUAGGGCAGCUUGCUGCAUGAUGCUAAGAAAGUAACUUAACUGACUGAUCAUUAGGAAGACCAGGGAUGAAAUCAAAAUGAAACAAUAAGAACUAGCUGGGAACUCUUCUUUCUGAGCAACAGCAAGAACAGGAAGCAAUAAAUCGAGAAGACGUUUACUGAACCCCAAUAAUCUGCCCAAAGUAGAAGAGUUGAGAACUGGACAUGCAGAAGGCCACAGAGAUCUAAAGGUUUUCUUCCUCAGAACUGUUGUCUGGAAAACUCAUCUACUGUCGCACUGCAUACUGAGCAGCUCACUCACCCUGAGUUUUGCUUGGGAUUCUAAUGCUAUUAUUAUAAAUAGUAUUAUAGAUAGGCUAUAGCACUGGGCCUUCGCAAGGAUAACUAAACGCCUCCAGGCUUUUAAAAGGAAACACGGGGAAUUUGCAUUUAUUGUCUUGGCUGCAUUAUUGGCAACAUAAAGGAUUCUUUGGAGGCUUGAGAGGUGGGGUCAGCCAUGUCAUUUGCAUUUUAGGAGAGCUUAAUCAACUGAUUAAUGACACAGAAGAAUGUAUCCACUCACCUGAUGUUUCAUUUGCAUAGUUUAUCAGUAGGAGAUUUUUUUCUGAUAAUUUGCAUACUCUACUGCUUUCACAAUUAGGAUAAACUCUAUAAACAAUGGCCACCGGCUAAAUCUAAAUACAGAAGGGGAAAUUAGAAUUUAUCUAGACCACUGACGUUAACAAAUAUAUAUUUUUAAUUAUUAUAAUUGCUACUCAGCAGAAAUUGACCAAGUCAUACAGGCUUCACACAUUAAAUUAUUUAGACUUUA